This 1938-nucleotide long non-coding RNA is filed under the name Sorghum bicolor (sorghum). RNAcentral describes it as "long non-coding RNA (SBIC_LNC013725)". Lineage: Eukaryota; Viridiplantae; Streptophyta; Magnoliopsida; Poales; Poaceae. The record is from RNAcentral.
ACAUAUGAUUUUAAAUGAAAAAAUUAUCAACUACAAAGUUUCAUAACUUUUUGAGAUCUACAACUUUCAUUUUGGCGGUUUUUUCAUACGAGGUCAUUUGAAAAACUCAAAGAAAUCAAUUUCAAAUUAUUUCUACAAACGGUUCUCUUAAGAAACCACUAAUAGAAAUCUGAUUUUUAGUGGCAGUUUCUUAAGAAAACUGCUUGUAGAAAUAUAUGAUUUUUAGUGGCGGUUUUGGUAGAAAAACCGCGUGUGCAAAUCCAUUUUCACUCGCGGUUCACUUAAGAGAACUGCCAGUGAAAAUGCACCAUUUGUACUAACGAUUUUCUUAAAAAAAUUGUGAGUAAAAAUAUAUUUCCACUGACGGUUCUUGAGUCAGCCCCACCAAUUUUUUUUCAUUGGCACUUUUAAAUUGAAACUGCCUAUAAAAAUUAUGCUCCACCGCCAGCAUAGAGUUUUUCUGUACUAGUGUCACACACCGACGACCAAGGUGUCACCACCCAAACGAUUGUGGCCACUACCCCUUCAUCUCAUUAUGCUAGCACCCCCACCUUUCCUCUCCUAUGGCGACUAAGGGGAUCACCGUACCCUGACUCGACGGGGGCAAGGUGCUUUCAGUAGGGGAAAGGCGUAUAUGAUUACUACUUAAACCGCGGUGGGCAAAAAAAUUUAACCGAGGAAAUUUUUACAACCACAUCAAACAAAAGAUCACAGUUAAUCGUGGUCUUAACUGAGGCAGUUGCCCCACUCGCCUUGGUAAAUCGAGUAAAAAAAUAGAAAACACUACUGCCUAAAAAAUUAUCAGAGGCGGGCAAAAAUAGCUUAACUGAGGCGUUUUGGCCAACUGCCUCGGAUCAAAGGUCAUGGUUAAUGUGACAUUUUCUAAGGUGAUUUGAUGCCCGCCUCGGUUAAUAAAAUAAAAAAACAAAAAAGCAGAUAAGCCCAUCGAUGGGCCUGCCAAGCCCAUUCGCACUGCCGCUAGCUGGACUCGCCAUCGUCGGCACCCUGUCGCAGAUCCGCAGGUAGGGGAGUGUUGGCGUUUCUUAGGGAAACUAUUAAAGAUAGAGUUUUAGUCCAUCUUUAAUAAUAACACUAGAAACAUUCUUGGCAUAACCUAACCACCAUCACUUCAGAAAGAUAAACCAAGGCCUUUUACGGCGCUGGCCUAGGCAGUGCAGUCUGGUACUGAUGAUUAGAAUUGCCAGAUUGGCCUUCCUAACCAUCCUUACUUACGAUAUGCAAAGCUGUGGCCUGGCGCCGUGUGGGUGCACGAGGAUUACAAUCUUAAGUAAAGGUACUUAGGUACGCCAAUCGAUAGCUCAGUUAUAGGAAUAAAUUACUCUGCAAGCGCACAGAACUGUCAUUGUAGCAUUUCAACCCAUGAGUAUGGAGGGGUGUCGUAUUUAUAAUUUCCCGUAGGAAGGCAUUGUGAACGCAUCUAGCUUUGGUUAUAAACAUGAUUACUUAUUGAAAUGCAUGGUAGACAUAGUAUAAACAUAGGUAAGUAUGUAGUUGAUUUGAUAGCGGACACACAUCGGAGCAACCUCAAGGAAUAAAGGGAAAACAAAGAAUAAAGGAACAACUACACGAGCAGGCAUGGUCGUAUACAAGUUAUACAACAGAUCUGUUACCAGGUCAUCUAGCUAAUAAGAAUAAGUUAGAGCUAAGUCUGAGAUACUGGGGAGAUCUCCGUAGCUGGUCUGCCAGCAAAUAGAGACUUUACAUGACUCCUACCGAAUAUCUGAAUGUGGGGGAAUACGAAGGAUGACAGGGCUGUCACCACCCUACCACCUACCCCUGUGUCCGUGGGAUACCCGCAUAUCCUCGGGUCUCCGCAUAUCCGAGCACCAUGCCCGUGUACUUGGAAACACCCCCUAGCCUCCCGGGACCCCAACCCUUCGGAUUGACAGGCUCGGCUAAGGGUGACCAUUACAGCCC